This is a non-coding RNA of Oryctolagus cuniculus (rabbit), 6005 nucleotides long. The record is from RefSeq and is a predicted model, not a curated record. Lineage: Eukaryota; Metazoa; Chordata; Mammalia; Lagomorpha; Leporidae.
CUUGCUUUGCCAAGACUCUGCCCAAAGACCUUGGAGCUUUUGUUGGCUCUUCGGCAAAAGCGCCUGGUCUAACCCCAAGUAAAUGUGAGCUUCUGGUGGAAUCCACAUGGCCUGUGGAAGAAGCCACAGGCUGGAAAGUUACAACUGUGACUGGCCAAAUGAAAUUGUUUACUGGUCAGAUGUCACCGGGCUUCCGAACCCUCCCACACAGCCUGGUGGCGGCAGAGAGGAAGGUGAGAGGUCUAAGGGUUUUAUCAGUUGAGCUACAACCCAGGGCUAAGUCAAGCUGUGGGGUGGUUAAUAGUCGGGCUGGGGGGGACAGAGCGCCAGGGGAUGAGGCCAGUCCCUGUUUGAAUCAGGUAAGGAUCCUGAUGGUGUCCUUAGGUCCCAUGAUAUAAGGUUAAAUAGAGCAGUUCUCUCCCUGUCUGUCUUAUCUGGAAUGCCUGUUAGGGUUCAGGAAAACAGGUAAAUUGCAUGAACGUUGAGCUCUUACGGGAAGUAAUUGACCUCACUGCCCGGAAGCUACAGUGCUUGGCACGCUGGCAUGUGCUUCUCUAAUCCUUUGUGUUCUCGUUAUCCUGAGCAACAUUCUACAAACCUUGUGUACAGUUCCUUGGGGCCAGUUUAUUUCCUUCAGAGGGAUCCUGGAAAGAAAUGAGGAACCCGGAAAGCAAGCUAUAGCCAUGGAGACGGUGGUAAUCCGUCCGGGCCAAGCCACACGCAGGAGGAGCCGCACUAAUUGAUACUCCCGGCAGCACAGGCUUCUUGUUUUAGAUCCCACCGCCGAUUACAAGACCUCGGAAUGCCUUAUCCUUCUCAGAUGCCUGGGCUCUGCCCUGCUAUUUGUUAGGGGACUGGUCUGUUUGUUGAAAUGGAUCCUGUGUUUAUCCGGACCUGCCAUCCUGCCCGCGUGUGCCUCCCGGGUUGGGGCUGGAGCAGGGAGCGGACAGGAGAGGGACAGCUGCGCGCCCAGCUCCGGAGAGCCCUCCCGGGCGCGCAGGACCCCGACAUCGAGGAGUCCGGGUGUCGGCUUAGGGCCGGGGCCGGGGCCGCGGGCGGCUGCGAGGAUGCCCGCGAGCUUCAGAUUCAGUUUCUUCCACAAGGGCCUUUUGUCCCCCGGGAGCCUCUCUGCCCUGCGGAGCGCAGGGGGAGACAACUUUGUCGCUCGGUACAUAGAGUGACGCCGCCAGUGCCCUCGGACGCCCGCGGCCAAGCAGCCCAGCCCACCUGACCGACCCCGACCUCCCGCGCCCCUCCCGCGCCCGCCCUCGGCCAGCCGCCCCUCCCCCGAGGCGUGGCCCCUCGCUGGGCAGCGGGGAGGGUAGCGGGAGUCGGUGGGGCCAACCGGCUCCUUCCUCCUUCCCUCCCGCUCAGGCUCCCGCGGGCCAGCCGGGGACCGCAGCCACGUCUCAAAGCCGCUCAUUGUGUGCGCCCCGGGCGGGCAGCGCAGCGGAACUCCAGGCGCCUACCAAAUCUCUGGACUCCCGAGCGCGCCUCUGAGAGGCCCCUCCCCGGUGUCGCCGGGUGGCCGCUUGGGACCCAAAGGAACGGUUCAGCCCCUGCCGACUCAAGAAGAGGAACUGGGCGUGGGGUGGAACGUGGAGCAGGACGCUCGGCUGAGCCCCGCCGCGCCGGGUCCCGCGGAGACGCCAAGGUCCGGGACUCGGUGGACCCUCCAGGCAUCCCCCAUGGGUUUGUGACCAGCGUCGCUCGCCCAGCAGCACUGGACAGUGGCCCCCGGCCGGCGGCAUGUGGCUGCCGCGCGUCUCCAGCACGGCCGUCACGGCUCUGCUGCUGGCGCAGACCUUCCUCCUGCUCUUCCUGGUCUCGCGACCCCCGGGGCCGCGGCCGGCGGCAGGGGGCGAGGAGCGCGUGCACGUGCUAGUGCUGUCCUCGUGGCGCUCGGGCUCGUCCUUCGUGGGCCAGCUCUUCAGCCAGCACCCCGACGUCUUCUACCUGAUGGAGCCCGCGUGGCACGUGUGGGCCGCCCUGUCGCAGGGCAGCGCGCCGGCGCUGCACAUGGCCGUGCGCGACCUGGUGCGCUCCGUCUUCCUGUGCGACAUGGACGUGUUUGACGCCUACCUGCCCUGGCGCCGCAACCUGUCGGACCUCUUCCAGUGGGCGGUGAGCCGCGCGCUGUGCUCGCCGCCCGCCUGCAGCGCUUUCCCGCGCGGCGCCAUCAGCAGCGAGGCGGUGUGCAAGCCGCUGUGCGCGCGGCGGCCCUUCAGUCUGGCGCAGGAGGCCUGCCGCUCCUACAGCCACGUGGUGCUCAAGGAGGUGCGCUUCUUCAACCUGCAGGUACUCUACCCGCUGCUCAGCGACCCCGCGCUCAACCUGCACAUCGUGCACCUGGUGCGCGACCCGCGCGCCGUGCUGCGCUCCCGGGAGCAGACGGCCAAGGCGCUGGCCCGGGACAACGGCAUCGUGCUGGGCACCAAUGGCACGUGGGUGGAGGCCGACCCGGGCCUGCGCGUGGUGCGCGAGGUGUGCCGCAGCCACGUGCGCAUCGCCGAGGCCGCCACGCGCAAGCCGCCGCCCUUCCUGCGCGGCCGCUACCGCCUGGUGCGCUUCGAGGACCUGGCGCGGGAGCCGCUGGCGGAGAUCCGCGCGCUCUACGCCUUCACCGGCUUGAGGCUCACGCCGCAGCUCGAGGCCUGGAUCCACAACAUCACGCACGGGUCGGGCCCCGGCGCGCGCCGCGAGGCCUUCAAGACCACGUCCAGGGACGCGCUCAACGUCUCGCAGGCCUGGCGCCACGCACUUCCCUUCGCCAAGAUCCGCCGCGUGCAGGAGCUGUGCGCCGGCGCCCUGCAGCUGCUGGGCUACCGGCCCGUGUUCUCCGAGGAGGAGCAGCGAGACCUCACCCUGGACCUGGUGCUGCCGCGCGGCCCGCACAGCUUCAGCUGGGCGUCGUCCACCGCGGCACGCCCGGGGCCGUAGUGGAAGGGCUGGGAGGCCAGGGUCAGAGGGAGAGGAGGUCGGAACGCAGGGAAGCAGCCCGCUGGCAGGGGCCAGGACGGAGCACAGGGGUCUCUCCUGUAGUAGGAGUCCCCACACGCCAACUUUCUCCCGCCGGUGUUUGGCGUGGCUUUCAGACUGUGUCGGAGCUGGGGGGCCGGCAGGUGAGCUCCUCACGGAAAGCGAACGGGAGAGUAUAUCGGCACCUGCUCAGUCGCCUCAUUUCCCGUAGACUCCACCCUGGGAAGGGGGGGGUCCAGCCCUGGUGGGGAGCUGAGGGGCGCUGUGGAGUGCUGGCUUCUGAAGUUUGUAGGUCACACCUGUACACACCCUGGACUCUGUCCCCCUGGCACCACACUCCAUCAAGGCCGUGUCCUCAGCGAGACACCAGACACGAUGCUUAGUGGCUGGUGGUCUCCCAUCGGCCUCUCUCUGCCUCCCCUCCUAGGAUCCCACUCACUCUCAUCAUCCUGCCCGGGGAAAGUGAACGUUCGAGUUGUCCUGACUGGAAAGAGCCUAACUCUAAAAAUAAAAGACUUCGAGUUUCAGCUUUGUAGAGGAUAGAUGUUCCAGCCUCCACUGACAUAACUACCUAAUAUUUAAAUCAACCAAUACCAUACCUAGAAAGACAAGUAAGUCUCAUGAAUAACACAUAUUUUAAGACAAAAAAGUAAUGUGUUUCUUAACUCCCAGAACAUAAUAUAUCAGUAGAAUUUUAAAAACGAAAUUAAAAGAAACAGGUAGGGACCAGCGCUGUGGCGUAGCGGGUAAAGCCGCCGCCUUCAGUGCUGGCAUCCCAUAUGGGCGCCAGUUUGAGUUCCAGCUGCUCCACUUCGGAUCUAGCUCUCUGCUAUGGCCUGGGAAAGCAGUGGAAGAUGACCCAAGUCCUUGGGCCCCUGCUCCCACAUGAGACAUGGAAGAAACUCCUGGCUUCAGAUCGGCACAGCUCUGGCCGUUGCACUGGGGAGUGAACCAGUGGAUGGAAGACCGACCUCUCUCUCUCUCUCUCUCUCUCUCUGCCUCUUGCUGGCUCUCUGUAGCUCUGCCUUUAAAAUAAAUAAAUAAAUCUUUUAAAAAAACAAACAAAAAAGCAACAACUAAAAAUCAUUUUAGCCAUAAUAUUCUGCUUACCUCUAUACUAUGAUUUUAACAUGUAAUCAAUAUAAAAAUUAAUGAUACAUCUUAGUCUUCAAAAUCCAGUGAGCGUGCCACACUGACAGCAGGUCUCCAUUCAGACCAGCCUUAUUUCUGGCACUCAGUGGCCACAAGUGGCUGGUGACUGUAUUGGACAGUGCAGGGUUGACACUCCAUUCUUGUUCCUUUCUUAAAACAUUUUUAUUUGUUUAUUUAAGAGGCAGAGAGACAGAGACACACAUACAGAGUUCCCAUCCUCUGAUGACUCCCCAAAUGCCCACGAUGGACCCUAGCUGAGCCCCAAGCCAGGAGCCAGAAACUCAAUCUGGGUCUUUCAUGUGGGUGGCAGGAGCCGGGUUAUUGAGUCAUCACCUGCAGCACCCCAGAGUCUGCACUAGCAGCUCCAGGAAGCUGGGGUUAGGAACUAGAGCCUGGAGUCGCAUCCGACACUCUGGUGUGGGACGUACAUAACUUAACUGCUGGGCCAAAUGCUCGCCCCCUGUCAUUGCAUUUUUAAACCCUCCUUGCCUUAGGAUAUUUCUAUAUCCAAAUCUCACUAGAGUGGACUACUGGAGAGGAGCACUCCACUUCAUGUCUCCACACUUUGGAAGCACAAAGAACCCACAGAAGUUUGCCUGUGCGAUUGCUUCUAUGCCUUCAAAUUCCGAGCCACUCUCAGCCUUUAGCCUAUGUGAGAAGAAAGUCAGACAUAGAGACUUCCCAUCACAUAGCCCAGAGCACGUGCUGCGUGGGCAGAACUUGUCUUCUCUCUCGGUUACCGACAUUCAGAUAACAUUGACCACUUCUCCGCGUCUGUUUCUUGUGCAUGGAUCCAUGAGAAUCUUGCCACAGCUCAGGGAAGAAUUGUUCCUCCCGAUUUAAGAGAUCAGUUGCGAGUUUCCAUGUGUCAGCCCAGUGCCAGGCCCCAGGGACACAAUCGGGGACAUGGCUGCUGUGGGAGCCCCUACAUCAAUCAUCCCACAGAUAAGCAUGCACUUGAUAAGUGUUGAUUGUGCCUUCAGGAAACAGGGGUGAUGGCGGAGGGCAACGCACUGUAGAAUGGGGAGGCAAGCAAGCUCUCUCUGCAGGGAAACCAUGGUUUGAACAAAUGACGAUGAACGGGAGUUAAUCAAGCGCAGGACAAAGAGGCAGAGGCAGAGAACAGCAAGAACGGGGUCUUGACGCAGGAAGCCUGCACUCUCCUUUAGAACAGAAAGGCUUCUUGGCAAAGCAAGAGACUUGAUCCUGGGAGUCCAGGCUCAUGUGUUAGAAAAAGACCCAAGGAGGUGGCCCAGUUGUGUCUGUAAAAUUCCUAAAAGUAGAAUUGCUGGGCUGAAGAGUCUCCAUGUUCCAGAUAGGAAUCUGCCAAAGCACUCUCAAAGCAAGAGAACUCUCUGGGACAGGGUCAGGAAUGCUGUUCACCCGCUCUUGCCAAAUGCUCCCCCAGCCAACACCACCUGCACGUGGCUAAAUCGAUGGCUUUCAUUUUUACUUAGCUUAUGAGUGAAGAGUGGUAUUUUCCUGUUCCUAAAUUUGCAUUUAUUCAAUUCCUAUGGCAGUUGGGCAUCUUUUCAUGUUUAUUAAUCACCUGCAUUCCUUUCUCUUUAUUCAAGGACGUUGGCCAUUUUUCUGUUCAAUUACUGAUCCCUUUUUUGAUUAUGCUUUACUAUUUUAGUUUCUCUAAUCUCAUUUGUUUUUGAACCCACUGUAGGGUGUUUUCUCUGUAAAACUUCUUUUUUAAAAAAAUUGUAUUUAUUGAAAUGUAACUGAUAGAUGAUAUCCACAUAUAUUUAGUGUGUAGAAUUUAAUUCAUUUGGGUAUAUGCAUACACCUGUAAAAUCGGGUCACACAAUCAUCCCCAAAGGUUUUGCCCUAAUUAUUAUAGCAUUAAAUGUGAAUUAUUUCCUUCUGGC